ACUCCUACGGGAGGCAGCAGUGGGGAAUAUUGCACAAUGGGGGAAACCCUGAUGCAGCCAUGCCGCGUGUGUGAAAAGGCCUUCGGGUUGUAAAGCACUUUCAGUAGGGAGGAAGGUAGUGGUAGUUAACACCUGCAUUAUUUGACGUUAUCCUACAGAAGAAAGCACCGGCUAACUCCUGCCAGCAGCCGCGUAAUACGGAGGGUGCGAGCGUUAAUCGGAAUUACU
This 228-nucleotide ribosomal RNA is filed under the name uncultured bacterium. Its description in RNAcentral is "partial 16S ribosomal RNA". It matches the Rfam family "Bacterial small subunit ribosomal RNA", at positions 335 to 555 of the family's 1533-position model. The record is from RNAcentral.